This 67-nucleotide transfer RNA is filed under the name Anastrepha striata. RNAcentral describes it as "tRNA-Gly". Lineage: Eukaryota; Metazoa; Arthropoda; Insecta; Diptera; Tephritidae. RNAcentral also lists the same sequence under 1 other name. The record is from RNAcentral.
AUCUAUAUAAUAUAUAAAGUAUAUUUGACUUCCAAUCAUAAAGUCUACUAAUAAAGUAGUAUAGAUA